RNAcentral lists this ribosomal RNA (468 nucleotides) under uncultured bacterium. RNAcentral describes it as "partial 16S ribosomal RNA". It matches the Rfam family "Bacterial small subunit ribosomal RNA", at positions 28 to 507 of the family's 1533-position model. The record is from RNAcentral.
GACGAACGCUGGCGGCGGGCUUAACACAUGCAAGUCGAACGGAAAGGCCCUGCUUUUUUGGUCUGCUCGGGUGGCGAUCGGGUGAGUAACACGUGUGCAUCCGACUCUUGUUUUUGGGAUAAGUUCAGGUAACUGGGGUUAAUAUCGUAUCGGAGAUCCUGUUGCGUGGAGAGGGUUGGAAAGUUUCGGCGGUUGGGGUUGGAUUCGCGGCUUAACAGCUUGUUGGUGGGGUAGGUGCUUACCCAGGCUUUGACGGGUAGCCGGCCUGAGAGGGUGACCGGGCACAUUGGGACUGAGGUACGGCCCAGACUCCUACGUGAGGCAACAGUGGGGAAUAUUGCACAAUGGGCGGAAGCCUGAUACAGCAACGCCGCGGUCGGAAAGACGGCCUUCUGGUUGUAAACCGCUUUCGCCUGAGACGAAGCGUGAGUGACGGUAAUGAGUAAAUAAGCACCGGCUAACUACGUG